UUGCUUACUUUCCUUCUUCCCUCCUUCCCUCUUUCUUCAUUUCCUUUCUUAACUCUAUUAGUGGCCACUGGAUUUCCAGCUGGACAGACUCAUUUGAAGACACGAUUAGAAGAGAUCAGACUGGCUGUGGAAGAUGGAGCUACAGAAAUCGACGUGGUAAUUAACAGAAGCUUGGUGCUGACAGGCCAGUGGGGAGCCCUGUAUGAUGAGAUUCGUCAGUUUCGCAAGGCCUGUGGGGAGGCUCAUCUUAAAACUAUAUUAGCGACAGGAGAACUUGGAUCUCUUACUAAUGUCUAUAAAGCCAGUAUGAUAGCAAUGAUGGCAGGAUCAGAUUUUAUUAAGACCUCUACUGGAAAAGAAACAGUAAAUGCCACCUUCCCGGUAGCUAUAGUAAUGCUGCGGGCCAUUAGAGAUUUCUUCUGGAAAACUGGAAACAAGAUAGGGUUUAAACCAGCAGGAGGCAUCCGCAGUGCAAAGGAUUCCCUUGCUUGGCUCUCUCUUGUAAAGGAGGAGCUUGGAGAUGAGUGGCUGAAGCCAGAACUCUUUCGAAUAGGUGCCAGUACUCUGCUCUCGGACAUUGAGAGGCAGAUUUACCAUCAUGUGACUGGAAGAUAUGCAGCUUAUCAUGAUCUUCCAAUGUCUUAAAUUAGUCACCAGUUCCUGAAAAGAUCUUGACGACAACGUUUAAAAAUUAUUUUUCUACAUAAUUGCU
This 712-nucleotide small RNA is filed under the name Pongo abelii (Sumatran orangutan). RNAcentral describes it as "retained intron". The record is from RNAcentral. Lineage: Eukaryota; Metazoa; Chordata; Mammalia; Primates; Hominidae.